GGGACCUGAAGGAGUUGUGGGAAUUCCAGGACAAAGAGGCCGUCCCGGAAAAAAGGGUGACAAAGGACAGCUGGGGCCCACGGGAGAAACUGGAAGCCGAGGGGCCCUGGGACCAAGUGGAGAAAGCGGUCUGAAAGGCGCCAGAGGCACUAGAGGUGCCGUGGGACAUUUAGGAUUGAUGGGACCUACUGGAGAACCAGGGAUUCCAGGAUUUAGGGUGAGCAUUUCUCAUUGGAAAUAAGGAGUGUAUGUUUGCAUGAAAACCUAUCAUAAAGAUGUCAUCCCAGAUAUACAAAUUCAGAUGACAUCUCCUGAUAAACCUUUCUACCAUGUUUGGGCCUCAUACCCCUGCAGAGUGAAUCCUGUAUCUCUUUCAGAAGAGUGCAGUGUCUAUACCUUUCUGCUGUACUUAGGCCUCAUACCCCUACAGAGUGAAUCCUGUAUUUCUUUCCCAGUAGUGCAGCGUCUAGUGGUGGUGUGGCCAUGGUGGUUUUAGGUAGAGUACAGACAAGUGAUACAGAGACUGUCUGCUUACCUGUC
Molecule: long non-coding RNA, 540 nt
Filed under: Sus scrofa (pig)
Lineage: Eukaryota; Metazoa; Chordata; Mammalia; Artiodactyla; Suidae
Description: lncRNA (ENSSSCG00040019920.1, ENSSSCG00055010459.1)
Source: RNAcentral